UUGUCGCGGGCUGGCGCAAGUCAGCGUGAGGAAAGUCGGGACAGCACAGAGCACCAUACUUCCUAACGGGAAGGCGUUGGAGACAACGACAGCAAGUGCCACAGAAAAUUACCGCCCGCAAGGGUAAGGGUGAAAACGCGAGGUAAGAGCUCACGCAUUGCCAUGGUGACACGGCAGUGAGGUAAACCUUAUGGGCUGCAAGACCAAAUAUACCGGCGAUUGAGGGUCGCUCGCCCGAGCCGGGAGGGUAGGUUGCUAAAGACAAGCGGUGACGCUUGCCUUAGAGAAAUGACAAUCAUUCCGCAAGGAAUACAGAAUCCCGCUUAUGCCUUUCCU
Molecule: RNase P RNA, 336 nt
Filed under: bovine gut metagenome
Description: Bacterial RNase P class A
Rfam family: Bacterial RNase P class A
About the family: Ribonuclease P (RNase P) is a ubiquitous endoribonuclease, found in archaea, bacteria and eukarya as well as chloroplasts and mitochondria.
Source: RNAcentral